AGUGGCGAACGGGUGAGUAAUACAUCGGAACGUGUCCUGGAGUGGGGGAUAGCCCGGCGAAAGCCGGAUUAAUACCGCAUACGCUCUGAGGAGGAAAGGGGGGGAUCUUCGGACCUCCCGCUCAAGGGGCGGCCGAUGGCAGAUUAGCUAGUUGGUGGGGUAAAGGCCUACCAAGGCGACGAUCUGUAGCUGGUCUGAGAGGACGACCAGCCACACUGGGACUGAGACACGGCCCAGACUCCUACGGGAGGCAGCAGUGGGGAAUUUUGGACAAUGGGGGCAACCCUGAUCCAGCAAUGCCGCGUGUGUGAAGAAGGCCUUCGGGUUGUAAAGCACUUUUGUCCGGAAAGAAAACGUCGUGGUUAAUACCCGUGGCGGAUGACGGUACCGGAAGAAUAAGCACCGGCUAACUACGUGCCAGCAGCCGCGGUAAUACGUAGGGUGCAAGCGUUAAUCGGAAUUACUGGGCGUAAAGCGUGCGCAGGCGGUCCGCUAAGACAGAUGUGAAAUCCCCGGGCUUAACCUGGGAACUGCAUUUGU
RNAcentral lists this ribosomal RNA (540 nucleotides) under uncultured bacterium. RNAcentral describes it as "bacterial SSU rRNA". It matches the Rfam family "Bacterial small subunit ribosomal RNA", at positions 94 to 630 of the family's 1533-position model. The record is from RNAcentral.